AUGAAGACUCCCAUUGAAAUUCUCCUUAAUGAACAACCUGAUUAUACCUUUUUCAAGGUCUUUGGGUGUGCUUGCUGGCCGCAUCUUCGUCCAUAUAAUAAGCGCAAGCUUGAGUUUCGUUCUAAGAAGUGUGUUUUUCUUGGCUAUAGCUCUCUUCAUAAAGGUUACAAAUGUCUUCAUGUUCCCACUAAUCGUGUCUAUAUAUCUCGGGACGUCGUGUUUGAUGACCAUGUUUUUCCCUUUGCCAAACUUCCUGUGUCCACUGUUGAACCACCAUCUCUGCAUUCAUCCUCUGUUGCUUCUGACCAAUUUGAUGAUGUUGCAUACUCUCCUUUGUUGUUACCUAACCAUGGUGCAGGAACCGGGCGUGGGGCUCGUUUGGAGCUGUUGGAGGAUUCACCAUCAUCGUCGCCGCCUUCUGAUGGGCACGUCGAUCGCCCUAUGCAUGGCAUCGAUUCACGUGCCCAUGCAUGGUCACCCGAAGAGCCCGUCGCGCCGAGCAUCUCCACUGCUCGGUCCGCUAUGCCAGCGGCCGCCGAGUCUUCAGCGGCUCGGCCUGUCACGCCGGCUUCGCUCGCAGCUCGGCCCGUCACGUCGUCUUCGCCUGCGGCUCGGGUCCUCACGUCGCCUUCAUCCGCGGCUCGGCCCGCGACACCGGCCUCGCCCCUGCCCACUAUGCCGGGCUCGCCAUCGGCCCGGUCCGUGACGCCGGCAUCCCCAGCUGCUUCGUCAGCCCCGCCGGGUUCGCCUGUGGGCCGGCCUUCUUCGCCAACCGAGCCCGAGGCUACCGCGUCUGGCUCUGUGUCACCGGCUGACUCGUCAACGUCGCCGUCCUCCAGCCCGUUGCAGGCUGCUCCGUCGACCUCUGUGGUUCCUGUGUCCUGA
RNAcentral lists this ribosomal RNA (885 nucleotides) under Triticum aestivum (bread wheat). RNAcentral describes it as "partial small subunit ribosomal RNA". The record is from RNAcentral. Lineage: Eukaryota; Viridiplantae; Streptophyta; Magnoliopsida; Poales; Poaceae.